RNAcentral lists this ribosomal RNA (253 nucleotides) under uncultured bacterium. RNAcentral describes it as "partial 16S ribosomal RNA". It matches the Rfam family "Bacterial small subunit ribosomal RNA", at positions 524 to 776 of the family's 1533-position model. The record is from RNAcentral.
UACGAAGGGGGCUAGCGUUGCUCGGAAUCACUGGGCGUAAAGGGCGCGUAGGCGGAUCUUUAAGUCGGGGGUGAAAGCCCAGGGCUCAACCCUGGAAUGGCCUUCGAUACUGGAGAUCUUGAGACCGGAAGAGGUAAGUGGAACUGCGAGUGUAGAGGUGAAAUUCGUAGAUAUUCGCAAGAACACCAGUGGCGAAGGCGGCCAUCUGGCUCGGUACUGACGCUCAGGUGCGAAAGCGUGGGGAGCAAACAGG